Long non-coding RNA from Homo sapiens (human), 1776 nucleotides. Ensembl annotates it as CTXN2 antisense RNA 1. Its record names the gene CTXN2-AS1. NCBI's taxonomy places the organism in Eukaryota, Metazoa, Chordata, Mammalia, Primates, Hominidae. The record is from Ensembl.
UAGCAAUUAGAUUUCAUCAUUAUCUUUGUUUACUAAGGCAGUGAGGGUUUAAUUGAUUUACUGCUGAAAUCCUUGUUUUGCUCUCUUUGCUGCAUUCCUGGCUGUGCUGCGGGCAUUUUGCUGUGCUUUGGUGACAGCCGUUUUCAGUAGAACAGUAGGCACUAAAUUCUUACACGUUUCUUCUUAUCCGGAGAAGGCGCCUAGGCGCUGUCCGUAGUGCUGAAAUGGUGCGUGGUGAGACCUGUCUCCCCAACACAAGCUAGAAGACAACAAAAUAGCAGCCAGGAAACGCUCUGAUAAAGCUCUAGAUAGCUGCCAGGUGAUGCCAGAGAUUACUAGUUUUGGGACCAAUUAAAGUAGCAAGAUGCAGCCAGGAGUGGUGGCUUAUGCCUGUAAUCCCAGCACUUUGGGAGGCCGAGGCCGAGCUCAAGGGAGCAGAACUAAGUUACAUGAUUCUGCUGCGGAUGUAUAAGCACCACUCCAAUAAUUUAUUAUCACGGUUGGAGACUUUGACUUGUCACUUUAUGACUUGAAAUAUGGCUCCAUGGUAAAUGCCCAUAAAGCUGAUUUUUAAAAUCUGGAUAUUACAGUUCUAAUUCUCACUUAGUUUAAAAGGUAGAAUAGGCUUCUUGUUUCAUAGAUCAUUUGUGUGAAUGUUGAUUUGUUAUGUCAUUGACAUCAUACACACAUGCUUACAUUUUGAAGGUUGCUAGCGUUUCCCAUUAAUGCUUCUGAAUUGAUGCCAAAGGAAAGCAUUGAUUAUAAAUUAGGUUCCUUGGUAUUAGUUGGUGCAUGACCCUGACCCUUUUCAAGCUAUAUGAAAGGUAAUGAUGCUCUCAAAAGCCUGCAAAAUGGCUUAUUCAGGAAAGCAUAAUGGAUUAAAAAUCCAUUAGGUUCCACUUUCUUUGCUAGAUGCUGAGAUACAAAGAUAAAUGAGAUUUGGUCUCUGCCCUCGAGGAGAUACGUGGCAAAAUAAUAUGGUAAGUUCUACAAAGUUCUAUACAAACACAGAUUAAUAUGCUAUUCAUGUUUUAUUAGCCAUUGCCAAAGAAGGGAUGAAGAACUGCAAAAAGAUAAAACACAGAAUACUUGUACUUCAGGUCCUUGCCAAUAUCUACUGCCCAACUUUUACAAAAAAAAUUGCUGAAAGGCAUGAAAUAUAUGAAUGCCUUUCUAAAGCACAUGUGGAUAAUCUAUACUUCUGGAGCAUCUAUGAUUUAUUUUCAGAACAAUCCAAGUUAUUAGAAAGGUAAAUAUGUUGGUGACAUUGUUUAGAAGUUCCUCAAGCAGAAUUGCCUUUACUAUGCUUUGACAUUAUGCUCUCAGCUUAUAUACAGUAAUUCUAUGUGAAACAGUAGCCAGCUUACACAACCUGCUCUAUAUCUACUACAGAGCUGUUACUAAAGUGUUGGUCAACAUAUAACUUACUAUUUCUUAUAUAAAGAUGCCCAAGAAAUUUAGAUUUCAUAGAUAUAUCCCCAAAAGCAUUUCUUUCAAUACCAGUUUAAUGAAUUGAACUUUCAUACCUCACUUAAAUCAACCCAGGGUAAAGUGGUAUGUUCUGUUCUUACACACAAUGAAAAUCAUGUAACUAAUUAAAGUUAGCAUUUAUUUUAGCUACUAGGGAUGCCAGAGUCAAAUUAACAGCUGAAAAUGAAUAACUACAUAAGACCUUAAGCCUUUUAUAUCUUUUCUUUUUUUUUAAUCACCUUAACUACUGCAAUUUUGGUUUCUUAGGUAAUGAUAAUAUUAUUUUCUUUUAAUUAUUUGUUUUAA